This 743-nucleotide ribosomal RNA is filed under the name uncultured Streptococcaceae bacterium. Its description in RNAcentral is "bacterial SSU rRNA". It matches the Rfam family "Bacterial small subunit ribosomal RNA", at positions 49 to 775 of the family's 1533-position model. The record is from RNAcentral. Lineage: Bacteria; Bacillati; Bacillota; Bacilli; Lactobacillales; Streptococcaceae.
UAAUACAUGCAAGUAGAACGCUGAGAACUGGUGCUUGCACCGGUUCAAGGAGUUGCGAACGGGUGAGUAACGCGUAGGUAACCUACCUCAUAGCGGGGGAUAACUAUUGGAAACGAUAGCUAAUACCGCAUAAGAGAGACUAACGCAUGUUAGUAAUUUAAAAGGGGCAAUUGCUCCACUAUGAGAUGGACCUGCGUUGUAUUAGCUAGUUGGUGAGGUAAAGGCUCACCAAGGCGACGAUACAUAGCCGACCUGAGAGGGUGAUCGGCCACACUGGGACUGAGACACGGCCCAGACUCCUACGGGAGGCAGCAGUAGGGAAUCUUCGGCAAUGGGGGCAACCCUGACCGAGCUACGCCGCGUGAGUGAAGAAGGUUUUCGGAUCGUAAAGCUCUGUUGUUAGAGAAGAAUGAUGGUGGGAGUGGAAAAUCCACCAAGUGACGGUAACUAACCAGAAAGGGACGGCUAACUACGUGCCAGCAGCCGCGGUAAUACGUAGGUCCCGAGCGUUGUCCGGAUUUAUUGGGCGUAAAGCGAGCGCAGUCGGUUUUUUAAGUCUGAAGUUAAAGGCAUUGGCUCAACCAAUGUACGCUUUGGAAACUGGAGAACUUGAGUGCAGAAGGGGAGAGUGGAAUUCCAUGUGUAGCGGUGAAAUGCGUAGAUAUAUGGAGGAACACCGGUGGCGAAAGCGGCUCUCUGGUCUGUAACUGACGCUGAGGCUCGAAAGCGUGGGGAGCAAACAG